Molecule: small RNA, 107 nt
Filed under: Paenibacillus sp.
Lineage: Bacteria; Bacillati; Bacillota; Bacilli; Caryophanales; Paenibacillaceae
Also listed under: 1 other name
Description: Guanidine-I sequence
Rfam family: Guanidine-I riboswitch aptamer
About the family: This family represents a conserved RNA structure found upstream of the ykkC and yxkD genes in Bacillus subtilis and related genes in other bacteria. The function of this family is unclear although it has been suggested that it may function to switch on efflux pumps and detoxification systems in response to harmful environmental molecules.
Source: RNAcentral
CGAAGCGUUCUCUAGGGUUCCGCAGCGAUAUGCUUGACGCAGCUGGUCUGGUCCGAGAGAGAACCGCAGCUUGCGCUGUGACACGGAGGGAUAAAAGCCUGGGAGAU